Non-coding RNA from Mizuhopecten yessoensis (Yesso scallop), 66 nucleotides. The record is from the annotation of a RefSeq genome assembly. Lineage: Eukaryota; Metazoa; Mollusca; Bivalvia; Pectinida; Pectinidae.
GCCUAGGUAGUAUAUGAAGUGCGGCCGUUUUUCGUGCGGUAAGUGGUCUUAGAUGAUCCCUGGGUU